AGCCCUCUGUAUUCGUGCUGAGAUUUCGUCAGAGAUUAACCCCUUUGGAGCUCGCUGAUGAUACUUCCUAAAUAAGUGAAGCG
Molecule: microRNA precursor, 83 nt
Filed under: Trichobilharzia regenti
Lineage: Eukaryota; Metazoa; Platyhelminthes; Trematoda; Strigeidida; Schistosomatidae
Description: mir-3492 microRNA precursor family
Rfam family: mir-3492 microRNA precursor family
Source: Rfam by way of RNAcentral